UCAUUCGCUCAUUCACACAGU
This 21-nucleotide microRNA is filed under the name Brachypodium distachyon (stiff brome). Its description in RNAcentral is "bdi-miR7742-5p". Lineage: Eukaryota; Viridiplantae; Streptophyta; Magnoliopsida; Poales; Poaceae. The record is from miRBase by way of RNAcentral.